This 426-nucleotide ribosomal RNA is filed under the name Triticum aestivum (bread wheat). RNAcentral's name for it is "partial small subunit ribosomal RNA". The record is from RNAcentral. Lineage: Eukaryota; Viridiplantae; Streptophyta; Magnoliopsida; Poales; Poaceae.
AUGAUUGCCAUGACCCCCUCUAGUGUGUUGCAUCUUCGCUCCACUAGUUUCUAUGACAUGAUUGAUACGCUUGCUUAUGUUGCAUCACCCAUGAUUCAUACUUGCUCAUUUGAUGCGGUUGAUGACAUUCCUUUCCAUGCUUUGUACAUGAUUACUAUUACAUGUUGUCAUAUAUCUCCAUAUGUUGCCUCUCUCAUGCUAGAUAAUUUGCCAUGUAUUAAGUGCAACAAUGAUUCUAGUCUUGCUAAUGAGAUUGCCCCCAUAGCAUUCUCACAUAUAUUUGGAGAUUUUGACAUAUUUCUUGUGAAGCAUGCUUGUCAUCCUUCUUUGCACCAUAUGCCUAGUGCCAUGCAUAUACCAUUGCAUCAUAUUAUUCAUGCACUUUUGCUUCUAAUGGUUAUGUGCAAGAGAAGAGAACCAUCAUGA